Ribosomal RNA from Danio rerio (zebrafish), 117 nucleotides. The record is from Ensembl. Lineage: Eukaryota; Metazoa; Chordata; Actinopteri; Cypriniformes; Danionidae.
UGCCGCAGCCAUAUCACCCUGCUGCCCAAGACCGGUAACUCACUGAAGCUAAGCAGGGAUAAGCUAGGUCAGUACCUGGAUGGAAUAUCACAUAGGAAAACUAGGUUUCUGUUGUAA